Long non-coding RNA from Panicum virgatum (switchgrass), 1056 nucleotides. RefSeq lists it as uncharacterized. Lineage: Eukaryota; Viridiplantae; Streptophyta; Magnoliopsida; Poales; Poaceae. The record is from RefSeq and is a predicted model, not a curated record. The transcript has 5 exons.
AGAUUCCCCAUCACAUCAAAAAUGCCGGCACAUGCAUGGAGUAAUAAAUGUAGAUGAAAUCAAAAAAUAAUUGUACAAUUUUCCCUCCUCUUGCGCCAAAGAAAGAACAGAGCAGCAGCAAAACAACUCGCCAUCCUAAAGACCACCACUGCAGCCAUCGCCUCACACGUCACACCUAUACAACUGCACGGCCUCACCUUGCGUCAAUCCUCCUCUGCUUGCUACCGAAGCGGCCGCCAUGGUCCUCGGCGUGAGCUCCCAGUUCCCACCCCGGCUCCGCCCCUACACGUCUCAUUCCAACGACCUCACGCUUCCUCACGGCAAGAAUCAGCACCGCGUCACCCUACUCCAUCGUUUCCCAAAUAUACCGGCCGUCGAAGCCAAGCCAAGAACCCCCUCCGUCGAACGCCGCCGCCGCAGGCUGCACGUGCCGUGUUGAGCCCUCGCCUGGGCCUUCUCUUAGCGCGUGAGCUUGGGGAACGGACCCUAAGCGUCCUGGGGUACGCGCCACGCACGUCCCCCUCCUCUCCCCACGGCUCCGCUCGCUGGCGCGCCUGCCGUCGAGGCGUCGAGCCCGGCCGGCCGGUGUCGUCUCUGUUUUUCCCCUGCAUCCGUUCAGAGGUAGAAGAAGGUUCAAGGUUGGUGAAAGAGCGCAAGUAACCUCUAACUGUGAUGAUAAAGGAUCGCUAAUCUUACGAUAUUGGAGCUGAUCUGGAGGAUUUUGGUGGCCAUGGUUAUCAUAUAGCGGUGAAGCCCGAAGAAUAAGAAUCUAUUAUCAACUAACUUCAUUUGGUUUUCACAGUCUUCACUUGAGGUUGCUGCGUGAUCGAGGAUGGUCCGGUGGGCUCGUGACCAUGCCUCGGUGUUUACUCGUUGAGUGUUCUGCAUCGACGUAUGUCAUUCUUCCGCCGCGAGAAAACAACAAACUUGAUAUAUUGAGUACUCUGAUGAAUUCAAACUUAUUCAAAUUCAAGUGUUGUAUCAUUGAAUCUAAAUUUAUGUAACCAUGUCUGUGAUGAUGUAAUUGUUGUGGCUCCUUCGCGAGCUUAAUGUGUA